RNAcentral lists this ribosomal RNA (998 nucleotides) under uncultured bacterium. Its description in RNAcentral is "bacterial SSU rRNA". It matches the Rfam family "Bacterial small subunit ribosomal RNA", at positions 505 to 1501 of the family's 1533-position model. The record is from RNAcentral.
GUGCCAGCCGCCGCGGUAAUACGGAGGAUGCAAGCGUUAUCCGGAAUGAUUGGGCGUAAAGCGUCCGCAGGUGGCGAUGUAAGUCUGCUGUUAAAGAGUGAGGCUCAACCUCAUAAGAGCAGUGGAAACUACAUAGCUAGAGUACGUUCGGGGCAGAGGGAAUUCCUGGUGUAGCGGUGAAAUGCGUAGAGAUCAGGAAGAACACCAGUGGCGAAGGCGCUCUGCUAGGCCGUAACUGACACUGAGGGACGAAAGCUAGGGGAGCGAAUGGGAUUAGAUACCCCAGUAGUCCUAGCCGUAAACGAUGGAUACUAGGCGUGGCUUGUAUCGACCCGAGCCGUGCCGUAGCUAACGCGUUAAGUAUCCCGCCUGGGGAGUACGCCGGCAACGGUGAAACUCAAAGGAAUUGACGGGGGCCCGCACAAGCGGUGGAGUAUGUGGUUUAAUUCGAUGCAACGCGAAGAACCUUACCAAGGCUUGACAUGUCGCGAAUCUUCUUGAAAGGGAAGAGUGCCUUCGGGAGCGCGAACACAGGUGGUGCAUGGCUGUCGUCAGCUCGUGUCGUGAGAUGUUGGGUUAAGUCCCGCAACGAGCGCAACCCUCGUUUUUAGUUGCCAGCAUUAAGUUGGGCACUCUAGAGAGACUGCCGGUGACAAACCGGAGGAAGGUGGGGAUGACGUCAAGUCAGCAUGCCCCUUACGCCUUGGGCUACACACGUACUACAAUGCUCCGGACAGAGGGCAGCAAGCAUGCGAAUGCAAGCAAAUCCCGUAAACCGGAGCUCAGUUCAGAUCGCAGGCUGCAACUCGCCUGCGUGAAGGAGGAAUCGCUAGUAAUUGCAGGUCAGCAUACUGCAGUGAAUUCGUUCCCGGGCCUUGUACACACCGCCCGUCACACCAUGGAAGCUGGUAGUGCCCGAAGUCAUUACUCCAACCUUUCGGGGGGGAGGAUGCCUAAGGCAGGACUGGUGACUGGGGUGAAGUCGUAACAAGGUAACC